Molecule: microRNA precursor, 89 nt
Filed under: Nomascus leucogenys (northern white-cheeked gibbon)
Lineage: Eukaryota; Metazoa; Chordata; Mammalia; Primates; Hylobatidae
Description: miRNA (ENSNLEG00000031102.1)
Source: RNAcentral
AUUAUGUUGGUGCAAAAGUAAUCACAGUUUUUGCCAUUACUUUCAAAGUUAUUGCAAAAACAACAACAACUUUUUGCACCAACCUAAUA